Long non-coding RNA from Homalodisca vitripennis (glassy-winged sharpshooter), 262 nucleotides. RefSeq lists it as uncharacterized. The transcript has 3 exons. NCBI's taxonomy places the organism in Eukaryota, Metazoa, Arthropoda, Insecta, Hemiptera, Cicadellidae. The record is from RefSeq and is a predicted model, not a curated record.
GUACUUACAGCGUCCGGUCAUCUCAAGGAUCUUGCCGGGAUGCUGCCUUCUAUUCCUUACUUACUUCCUGAAACUGCUCAUCUGUUGUCCCUCCAUGUGAAGGAGAUCUUCAGAGAUCUUCAAUCAGUGACCUGGAAGCAAGCAGCUAUUCUUCUUGCUGUAUCAGCUAUUCUUCCUUCAUUAUUUCCUGAGUGAACUGGGUAUGGAGUGGAUGGGCCAGCAGGAACUCAUGCAGCAUAGAGCUCUGCACAAUUAACAUGGC